UACUUUGGAGAAGCUCAUUCAAUUGAGUGCCGAAGGGGCAAAGCGCCAGCGCGCCAAUCUCUCAGGCAAAAGGACAAAG
RNAcentral lists this non-coding RNA (79 nucleotides) under human gut metagenome. RNAcentral describes it as "Glycine riboswitch". It matches the Rfam family "Glycine riboswitch aptamer", at positions 9 to 86 of the family's 94-position model. From Rfam's summary of the family: This family represents the bacterial glycine riboswitch. Glycine riboswitches usually consist of two metabolite-binding aptamers domains with similar structures in tandem. The record is from RNAcentral.